RNAcentral lists this ribosomal RNA (405 nucleotides) under uncultured bacterium. RNAcentral describes it as "bacterial SSU rRNA". It matches the Rfam family "Bacterial small subunit ribosomal RNA", at positions 354 to 776 of the family's 1533-position model. The record is from RNAcentral.
GUGGGGAAUAUUGGGCAAUGGGCGAAAGCCUGACCCAGCAACGCCGCGUGAAGGAAGAAGGUCUUCGGAUUGUAAACUUUUGUCUUAUGGGACGAUAGUGACGGUACCAUAGGAGGAAGCCACGACUAACUACGUGCUAGCAGUCGCGGUAAUACGUAGGUGGCAAGCGUUAUCCGGAAUUAUUGGGUGUAAAGGGUGCGUAGGCGGGAUGUAAAGUCAGAUGUGAAAUGCCGCAGCUUAACUGCGGAGCUGCAUUUGAAACUUAUGUUCUUGAGUGAAGUAGAGGUAAGCGGAAUUCCUAGUGUAGCGGUGAAAUGCGUAGAUAUUAGGAGGAACACCGGUGGCGAAGGCGGCUUACUGGGCUUAAACUGACGCUGAGGCACGAAAGUGUGGGGAGCAAACAGG